AAUGCUUGGGAACUUGCCUUUAGGUGGGGGAUAACAGUUGGAAACGACUGCUAAUACCGCAUAAUGUCUACGGACCAAAGGGGGCUUCGGCUCCCGCCUUGAGAGAGGCCCAAGUGAGAUUAGCUAGUUGGUGGGGUAAAGGCCUACCAAGGCAACGAUCUCUAGCUGUUCUGAGAGGAAGAUCAGCCACACUGGGACUGAGACACGGCCCAGACUCCUACGGGAGGCAGCAGUGGGGAAUAUUGCACAAUGGGGGAAACCCUGAUGCAGCCAUGCCGCGUGUGUGAAGAAGGCCUUCGGGUUGUAAAGCACUUUCAGUUGUGAGGAAAGGUUGGUAGUUAAUACCUGCCAGCUGUGACGUUAACAACAGAAGAAGCACCGGCUAACUCCGUGCCAGCAGCCGCGGUAAUACGGAGGGUGCGAGCGUUAAUCGGAAUUACUGGGCGUAAAGCGCACGCAGGCGGCUUGUUAAGCUAGAGGUGAAAGCCCCGCGCUCAACGUGGGAACUGCCUUUAGAACUGGCAGGCUAGAGUCUUGGAGAGGGGAGUGGAAUUCCAGGUGUAGCGGUGAAAUGCGUAGAUAUCUGGAGGAACAUCAGUGGCGAAGGCGGCUCCCUGGCCAAAGACUGACGCUCAUGUGCGAAAGUGUGGGUAGCGAACA
Molecule: ribosomal RNA, 660 nt
Filed under: Gammaproteobacteria bacterium GUDS1331
Lineage: Bacteria; Pseudomonadati; Pseudomonadota; Gammaproteobacteria
Description: bacterial SSU rRNA
Rfam family: Bacterial small subunit ribosomal RNA
Source: RNAcentral